This 418-nucleotide long non-coding RNA is filed under the name Gossypium raimondii (Peruvian cotton). RNAcentral describes it as "long non-coding RNA (GRAI_LNC007449)". The record is from RNAcentral. Lineage: Eukaryota; Viridiplantae; Streptophyta; Magnoliopsida; Malvales; Malvaceae.
UUAAAGAAUCUUCAGAUACGCCUGGUAACUUGAAAGAGUCACUUACUUCCAUAAAUAAGUGGAAGUGCAAAUGAGGAUAUUUAGCAGGUAUCCCACUGAACUGUCCCAUUGUUUGCAACAUUUGGAACAUGAUAGACCAAGAUCGAGUUGCGCGCGGACCAAGAUCGAGUUGCCAAGUCACUGGAAAAGUCUUACGAAAACUAUCGACACUUAGAUCUAAAACGAAAACAGAAAACAAAAAAUUAAAAUUAAAAGACCAAGAAAACUAAAUUGAAAUAGAAUGAUACUUGGGCGACAAGAAAGGAUGAAGAAAGAACAUUUCUUGAUGCCAAAGAAUGUUGCCAAAAUAGAUCCUUGAAGCUUGGAAUGGCUGGAAAUGCAACAAGAACAAUUAAACCAAGUUAAUCAACAAUUCGAC